GUGUCUGUAGCCUAGUUGGUUAAAGGAAGCACUCUAGCAUUUGUAUCAGUUAUACUGAAGUUGUGAGUUGGAAUCUCACCAGACACA
RNAcentral lists this transfer RNA (87 nucleotides) under Puccinia sorghi. It matches the Rfam family "tRNA". Rfam says of the family: Transfer RNA (tRNA) molecules are approximately 80 nucleotides in length. Their secondary structure includes four short double-helical elements and three loops (D, anti-codon, and T loops). The record is from Rfam by way of RNAcentral. Lineage: Eukaryota; Fungi; Basidiomycota; Pucciniomycetes; Pucciniales; Pucciniaceae.